Molecule: ribosomal RNA, 808 nt
Filed under: Ascochyta coronillae-emeri
Lineage: Eukaryota; Fungi; Ascomycota; Dothideomycetes; Pleosporales; Didymellaceae
Description: eukaryotic LSU rRNA
Rfam family: Eukaryotic large subunit ribosomal RNA
Source: RNAcentral
AUUUGAAAUCUGGCGUCUUCGGCGUCCGAGUUGUAAUUUGCAGAGGGCGCUUUGGCAUUGGCAGCGGUCCAAGUUCCUUGGAACAGGACGUCACAGAGGGUGAGAAUCCCGUACGUGGUCGCUAGCCUUUACCGUGUAAAGCCCCUUCGACGAGUCGAGUUGUUUGGGAAUGCAGCUCUAAAUGGGAGGUAAAUUUCUUCUAAAGCUAAAUACUGGCCAGAGACCGAUAGCGCACAAGUAGAGUGAUCGAAAGAUGAAAAGCACUUUGGAAAGAGAGUUAAAAAGCACGUGAAAUUGUUGAAAGGGAAGCGCUUGCAGCCAGACUUGCCUGUAGUUGCUCAUCCGGGUUUUUACCCGGUGCACUCUUCUAUAGGCAGGCCAGCAUCAGUUUGGGCGGUUGGAUAAAGGUCUCUGUCAUGUACCUCUCUUCGGGGAGAACUUAUAGGGGAGACGACAUGCAACCAGCCUGGACUGAGGUCCGCGCAUCUGCUAGGAUGCUGGCGUAAUGGCUGUAAGCGGCCCGUCUUGAAACACGGACCAAGGAGUCUAACAUCUAUGCGAGUGUUUGGGUGUCAAGCCCGAGCGCGUAAUGAAAGUGAACGGAGGUGGGAACCUUUCGGGGUGCACCAUCGACCGAUCCUGAUGUCUUCGGAUGGAUUUGAGUAAGAGCAUAGCUGUUGGGACCCGAAAGAUGGUGAACUAUGCUUGAAUAGGGUGAAGCCAGAGGAAACUCUGGUGGAGGCUCGCAGCGGUUCUGACGUGCAAAUCGAUCGUCAAAUUUGGGCAUAGGGGCGAAAGACUAAUCGAA